This 229-nucleotide ribosomal RNA is filed under the name uncultured bacterium. Its description in RNAcentral is "partial 16S ribosomal RNA". It matches the Rfam family "Bacterial small subunit ribosomal RNA", at positions 29 to 247 of the family's 1533-position model. The record is from RNAcentral.
AACGAACGCUGGCGGCGCGCCUAAUACAUGCAAGUCGAGCGAGAAGACGUAGCAAUACGUUUGUAAAGCGGCGAACGGGUGAGGAAUACCAUGGGUAACCUACCCUCGAGUGGGGAAUAACUAGCCGAAAGGUUAGCUAAUACCGCGUACGCUCCUUGGACUUCGGUUCAGGGAGGAAAGCGAUACCGUGGGUAUCGCGCUCUUGGAUGGGCUCAUGUCCUAUCAGCUU